This 1826-nucleotide ribosomal RNA is filed under the name Cichlidarus ergensi. RNAcentral's name for it is "SSU rRNA". It matches the Rfam family "Eukaryotic small subunit ribosomal RNA". The record is from RNAcentral. Lineage: Eukaryota; Metazoa; Platyhelminthes; Monogenea; Gyrodactylidea; Gyrodactylidae.
UUAGUGCACGCCUCUGUUAUGGUAAAACCGCAAACGGCUCAUUAAAUCAGCUAUGGUUCCUUGGAUCGUACAUACUACACGGAUAACUGUAGUAAUUCUAGAGCUAAUACGUGCCCCGUGUGCCUGAUUCCCAAGAAGAAGGCCGCACUUAUUAGACCAUUAACCAACCGGGUUUACUCGGAAUUUAUGGUGACUCUGGAUAACUUUGUAUGAUCGCAGUCGGCCUAGUUGUCGGCGACGGAUCCAUGAAGUGUCUGCCCUAUCAACUUACGAUGGUAGGUGAUAUGCCUACCAUGGUUAUGACGGGUAACGGGGAAUCAGGGUUCGAUUCCGGAGAGGGAGCCUGAGAAACGGCUACCACAUCCAAGGAAGGCAGCAGGCGCGCAAAUUACCCACUCUCGGCGAGAGGAGGUAGUAAAGACAAAUAACGAUACAGAACUCAUUAGAGGCUCUGUAAUCGAAAUGAGUGCAUUAUAAAUCCUACAACGAGGAUCUAUUGGAGGGCAAGUCUGGUGCCAGCAGCCGCGGUAACUCCAGCUCCAAUAGCAUAUAUUAAUAUUGCUGCAGUUAAAAAGCUCGUAGUUGGAUCUGGGUUUAGCUGGAGACUGUUGAUUCGUGCUCUUUACGGGCUGAUAAACGGUAUAUCUAGACCGAAUCUUCCAGCUGUGUCUUCGCAGUGCUUCGGCAUUGCAAAGAUAGUUACAGUUGUCAGUAAGGUUCCUCCGGGUUCCUCUGCACUGUUGCUAUACACUAUAAUGCUCUUUAUUGGGUGUUUGGUGUGGACAGCACGUUUACUUUGAACAAAUUUGAGUGCUCAAAGCAGGCCGAUGCGCCUGAAAAGUCUUGCAUGGAAUAAUAGAAUAGGACUUCGGUCCUAUUUUGUUGGUUUAAUAGACCCGAAGUAAUGAUAAAAAGAGACAGACGGGGGCAUUUGUAUGGCAGCGCUAGAGGUGAAAUUCAUGGACCGUUGCCAGACAACCUAAAGCGAAAGCAUCUGCCAAGGAUGUUUUCAUUUACCAGGAGCGAAAGUCAGAGGUUCGAAGACGAUCAGAUACCGUCCUAGUUCUGACCAUAAACGGUGCCAUCUGAUGAUCCGUGGGCUACCUUUUGGUACCCACGGGCAAUCUCCGGGAAACCUGUAAGACUAUGGGUUCCGGGGAAAGUAUGGUUGCAAAGCUGAAACUUAAAGGAAUUGACGGAAGGGCACCACCAGGAGUGGAGCUUGCGGCUUAAUUUGACUCAACACGGGGAAACUCACCCGGACCGGACACUAUGAGGAUAGACAGAUUGAUAGCUCUUUCUUGAUUUGGUGAUUAGUGGUGCAUGGCCGUUCUUAGUUCGUGGUAUGAAUUGUCUGGUUAAUUCCGAUAACGAACGAGAUUCUAACCUGCUAAAUAGUUCAUUUGUAACUAUGUGUAGUGUGUGCUCAAUGAUCUUCGGACUGUUGAGCGCCAUUACACAAGCAUAUGAUACUUCUUAGAGGGAUUGAUGGUCCUUAAGCCGUACGAGAGAGAGCAAUAACAGGUCUGUGAUGCCCUUAGAUGUUCGGGGCCGCACGCGUGCUACACUGACAGUGGUAGAGAGUUUGAUUUCCUCGGGCGAAAGUCUUGGGCAAACUUUUCAAUUACUGUCGUGCCUGGGAUCGGGGUUUGUAAUUAUCCCCCGUGAACCAGGAAUUCCUAGUAAGCACAAUUCAUCAGAUUGUGCUGAAUACGUCCCUGCCCUUUGUACACACCGCCCGUCGCUACUACCGAUUGAAUGGUUUAGCAAGGUCAAUGGAUUGAUUGCAAAUAGGUGUAAAUCUGUUGCGGUUGAGAAGCUGGCCG